Molecule: ribosomal RNA, 1534 nt
Filed under: Klebsiella pneumoniae
Lineage: Bacteria; Pseudomonadati; Pseudomonadota; Gammaproteobacteria; Enterobacterales; Enterobacteriaceae
Description: bacterial SSU rRNA
Rfam family: Bacterial small subunit ribosomal RNA
Source: RNAcentral
UUGAAGAGUUUGAUCAUGGCUCAGAUUGAACGCUGGCGGCAGGCCUAACACAUGCAAGUCGAGCGGUAGCACAGAGAGCUUGCUCUCGGGUGACGAGCGGCGGACGGGUGAGUAAUGUCUGGGAAACUGCCUGAUGGAGGGGGAUAACUACUGGAAACGGUAGCUAAUACCGCAUAACGUCGCAAGACCAAAGUGGGGGACCUUCGGGCCUCAUGCCAUCAGAUGUGCCCAGAUGGGAUUAGCUAGUAGGUGGGGUAACGGCUCACCUAGGCGACGAUCCCUAGCUGGUCUGAGAGGAUGACCAGCCACACUGGAACUGAGACACGGUCCAGACUCCUACGGGAGGCAGCAGUGGGGAAUAUUGCACAAUGGGCGCAAGCCUGAUGCAGCCAUGCCGCGUGUGAAGAAGGCCUUCGGGUUGUAAAGCACUUUCAGCGGGGAGGAAGGCGGUGAGGUUAAUAACCUCAUCGAUUGACGUUACCCGCAGAAGAAGCACCGGCUAACUCCGUGCCAGCAGCCGCGGUAAUACGGAGGGUGCAAGCGUUAAUCGGAAUUACUGGGCGUAAAGCGCACGCAGGCGGUCUGUCAAGUCGGAUGUGAAAUCCCCGGGCUCAACCUGGGAACUGCAUUCGAAACUGGCAGGCUAGAGUCUUGUAGAGGGGGGUAGAAUUCCAGGUGUAGCGGUGAAAUGCGUAGAGAUCUGGAGGAAUACCGGUGGCGAAGGCGGCCCCCUGGACAAAGACUGACGCUCAGGUGCGAAAGCGUGGGGAGCAAACAGGAUUAGAUACCCUGGUAGUCCACGCCGUAAACGAUGUCGAUUUGGAGGUUGUGCCCUUGAGGCGUGGCUUCCGGAGCUAACGCGUUAAAUCGACCGCCUGGGGAGUACGGCCGCAAGGUUAAAACUCAAAUGAAUUGACGGGGGCCCGCACAAGCGGUGGAGCAUGUGGUUUAAUUCGAUGCAACGCGAAGAACCUUACCUGGUCUUGACAUCCACAGAACUUUCCAGAGAUGGAUUGGUGCCUUCGGGAACUGUGAGACAGGUGCUGCAUGGCUGUCGUCAGCUCGUGUUGUGAAAUGUUGGGUUAAGUCCCGCAACGAGCGCAACCCUUAUCCUUUGUUGCCAGCGGUCCGGCCGGGAACUCAAAGGAGACUGCCAGUGAUAAACUGGAGGAAGGUGGGGAUGACGUCAAGUCAUCAUGGCCCUUACGACCAGGGCUACACACGUGCUACAAUGGCAUAUACAAAGAGAAGCGACCUCGCGAGAGCAAGCGGACCUCAUAAAGUAUGUCGUAGUCCGGAUUGGAGUCUGCAACUCGACUCCAUGAAGUCGGAAUCGCUAGUAAUCGUAGAUCAGAAUGCUACGGUGAAUACGUUCCCGGGCCUUGUACACACCGCCCGUCACACCAUGGGAGUGGGUUGCAAAAGAAGUAGGUAGCUUAACCUUCGGGAGGGCGCUUACCACUUUGUGAUUCAUGACUGGGGUGAAGUCGUAACAAGGUAACCGUAGGGGAACCUGCGGUUGGAUCACCUCCUU